AACGCUAGCGACAGGCCUAACACAUGCAAGUCGAGGGGCAGCACAAGGAGCAAUCUGAGGUGGCGACCGGCGCACGGGUGAGUAACACGUAUGCAACCUGCCUGUAAGCGGGGAAUAACCCGUUGAAAGACGGACUAAUACCGCAUAAUACUAAAUUACUGCAUGGUAAUUUAUUUAAACAUUUAUGGCUUACAGAUGGGCAUGCGCAUGAUUAGCUAGUUGGAGAGGUAACGGCUCCCCAAGGCAACGAUCAUUAGGGGUUCUGAGAGGAAGGUCCCCCACACUGGUACUGAGACACGGACCAGACUCCUACGGGAGGCAGCAGUGAGGAAUAUUGGUCAAUGGACGAGAGUCUGAACCAGCCAAGUCGCGUGCAGGAAGAAUGUCCUUAAUGGAUUGUAAACUGCUUUUGCAGGGGAAUAAAGUGCAUCACGUGUGAUGUUUUGUAUGUACUCUGCGAAUAAGGAUCGGCUAACUCCGUGCCAGCCGCUGC
RNAcentral lists this ribosomal RNA (493 nucleotides) under uncultured bacterium. RNAcentral describes it as "bacterial SSU rRNA". It matches the Rfam family "Bacterial small subunit ribosomal RNA", at positions 32 to 518 of the family's 1533-position model. The record is from RNAcentral.